AGGGAAUCUUCCACAAUGGACGAAAGUCUGAUGGAGCAACGCCGCGUGAGUGAUGAAGGGUUUCGGCUCGUAAAACUCUGUUGUUGGAGAAGAACAGGUGUGAGAGUAACUGUUCACAUCUUGACGGUAUCCAACCAGAAAGCCACGGCUAACUACGUGCCAGCAGCCGCGGUAAUACGUAGGUGGCAAGCGUUGUCCGGAUUUAUUGGGCGUAAAGCGAGCGCAGGCGGUUUUCUUAGGUCUGAUGUGAAAGCCUUCGGCUUAACCGGAGAAGUGCAUCGGAAACCAGGAGACUUGAGUACAGAAGAGGACAGUGGAACUCCAUGUGUAGCGGUGAAAUGCGUAGAUAUAUGGAAGAACACCAGUGGCGAAGGCGGCUGUCUGGUCUGUAACUGACGCUGAGGCUCGAAAGCAUGGGUAGCGAACAGGAUUAGAUACCCUGGUAGCCCAUGCCGUAAACGAUGAGUGCUAAGUGUUGGAGGGUUUCCGCCCUUCAGUGCUGCAGCUAACGCA
Molecule: ribosomal RNA, 513 nt
Filed under: uncultured bacterium
Lineage: Bacteria
Description: partial 16S ribosomal RNA
Rfam family: Bacterial small subunit ribosomal RNA
Source: RNAcentral